GGCCGUGUGGCGAAAUGGCAUCGCGUCUGACUACGAUGUUUUUCCAGAUAGUCGGAAAUCAGGAGAUUGCAGGUUCGACCCCUGUCUCGGUCA
Crucibulum laeve is the source of this 93-nucleotide non-coding RNA. NCBI's taxonomy places the organism in Eukaryota, Fungi, Basidiomycota, Agaricomycetes, Agaricales, Nidulariaceae. The record is from the annotation of a GenBank genome assembly.